GGUCCAGUGAUGAAGUGGUAAGCAUGGUUGCCUCAUACCCCAGUUGGGCUGGGUUCAAUCCCAGUUGGCCCC
RNAcentral lists this transfer RNA (72 nucleotides) under Culex quinquefasciatus (southern house mosquito). Its description in RNAcentral is "tRNA-Met". The record is from RNAcentral. Lineage: Eukaryota; Metazoa; Arthropoda; Insecta; Diptera; Culicidae.